This 458-nucleotide ribosomal RNA is filed under the name uncultured bacterium. RNAcentral describes it as "partial 16S ribosomal RNA". It matches the Rfam family "Bacterial small subunit ribosomal RNA", at positions 338 to 795 of the family's 1533-position model. The record is from RNAcentral.
CCUACGGGAGGCAGCAGUGGGGAAUAUUGCACAAUGGGGGAAACCCUGAUGCAGCGACGCCGCGUGAGUGAUGAAGUAUUUCGGUAUGUAAAGCCCUAUCAGCAGGGAAGAAAUAGCGACCUUUGGGUCGCCAGACGGUACCUGACGAAGAAGACGCGGCUAACUACGCGCCAGCAGCCGCGGUAAUACGUAGGGGGCAAGCGGUAUCCGGAUUUACUGGGUGUAAAGGGAGCGGAGACGGCAGUACAAGUCUGAAGUGAAAUGCCCGGGCUUAACCCCGGAACUGCUGUGGAAACUGUGCAGCUAGAGUGCGGGAGAGGUAAGUGGAAUUCCUGGUGUAGCGGUGAAAUGCGUAGAUAUUAGGAAGAACACCAGUGGCGAAGGCGGCUUACUGGACUGUAACUGACGUUGAGGCUCGAAAGCGUGGGGAGCAAACAGGAUUAGAUACCCCAGUAGUC